RNAcentral lists this ribosomal RNA (253 nucleotides) under uncultured bacterium. RNAcentral's name for it is "partial 16S ribosomal RNA". It matches the Rfam family "Bacterial small subunit ribosomal RNA", at positions 524 to 776 of the family's 1533-position model. The record is from RNAcentral.
UACAGAGGGUGCAAGCGUUAAUCGGAAUUACUGGGCGUAAAGCGUGCGUAGACGGUUGCAUAAGUCAGAUGUGAAAGCCCCGGGCUCAACCUGGGAAUUGCAUUUGAGACUGUGUAGCUAGGGUGCGGAAGAGGGAAGCGGAAUUUCCGGUGUAGCGGUGAAAUGCGUAGAUAUCGGAAGGAACACCAGUGGCGAAAGCGGCUUCCUGGUCCAGCACCGACGUUCAGGCACGAAAGCGUGGGGAGCAAACAGG